RNAcentral lists this unclassified non-coding RNA (336 nucleotides) under soil metagenome. RNAcentral's name for it is "partial contains 5.8S ribosomal RNA, internal transcribed spacer 2, and large subunit ribosomal RNA". The stretch from base 1 to 120 matches the Rfam family "5.8S ribosomal RNA", at positions 35 to 154 of the family's 154-position model. The record is from RNAcentral.
GAUGAAGAACGCAGCGAAAUGCGAUAAGUAAUGUGAAUUGCAGAAUUCAGUGAAUCAUCGAAUCUUUGAACGCACAUUGCGCCCGCCAGUAUUCUGGCGGGCAUGCCUGUUCGAGCGUCAUUUCAACCAUCAAGCCCCAGGCUUGUGUUGGGGACCUGCGGCUGCCGCAGGCCCUGAAAACCAGUGGCGGGCUCGCUGUCACACCGGGCGUAGUAGAUUUUAUCUCGCUCAGGGCGUGCUGCGGGUUCCGGCCGUUAAAAAGCCUUUUUUACACAAGGUUGACCUCGGAUCAGGUAGGAAGACCCGCUGAACUUAAGCAUAUCAAUAAGCGGAGGA